Molecule: ribosomal RNA, 460 nt
Filed under: uncultured bacterium
Lineage: Bacteria
Description: partial 16S ribosomal RNA
Rfam family: Bacterial small subunit ribosomal RNA
Source: RNAcentral
CCUACGGGAGGCAGCAGUGAGGAAUAUUGGUCAAUGGUCGGGAGACUGAACCAGCCAAGUAGCGUGCAGGAUGACGGCCCUAUGUAUCGUAAACUUCUUUUGUGCGGGGAUAAAAGCGGGGACGUGUGCCCGGUUGUAUGUACCGGAUGAAUAAGGAUCGGCUAACUCCGUGCCAGCAGCCGCGGUAAUACGGAGGGUCCGGGCGUUAUCCGGAUUUAUUGGGUUUAAAGGGUGCGUAGGCGGCCUGUUAAGUCAGCGGUGAAAGCCCGGGGCUCAACCCCCGCACGGCGGUGGAAACUGGCAGGCGUGAGUGGGAUAGAGGUAUGCGGAAUUCGUGGUGUAGCGGUGAAAUGCUUAGAUAUCACGAAGAACUCCGAUUGCGAAGGCAGCAUACCGGAGCGCAACUGACGCUGAAGCACGAAGGCGUGGGUAUCGAACAGGAUUAGAUACCCGUGUAGUC